GAUAACCCGGGGAAACCCGGGCUAAUACCGCAUAAGCCUUAUUUUGUAAGUGAGAUAAGGGAAAGUCUUCGGGUGCCGAAGGAGGAGCCCGCGUCCGAUUAGCUAGUUGGUGAGGUAAGAGCUCACCAAGGCGACGAUCGGUAGCCGGUCUGAGAGGACGGACGGUCACACUGGGACUGAGACACGGCCCAGACUCCUACGGGAGGCAGCAGUGGGGAAUUUUGGGCAAUGGGCGAAAGCCUGACCCAGCAACGCCGCGUGGAGGAUGAAGGUUUUCGGAUCGUAAACUCCUGUCUAGAGGGACGAAGAAGAUGACGGUACCUCUGGAGGAAGCCCCGGCUAACUCCGUGCCAGCAGCCGCGGUAAUACGGGGGGGGCGAGCGUUGUUCGGAAUUACUGGGCGUAAAGGGCGCGUAGGCGGUUUCGGAAGUCAUGGGUGAAAGUCCUCGGCUCAACCGUGGGAUUGCCUGUGAAACCACGGGUCUGGAGUGCUGGAGAGGGAAGUGGAAUUCCCAGUGUAGCGGUGAAAUGCGUAGAUAUUGGGAGGAACACCUGUGGCGAAGGCGGCUUCCUGGACAGACACUGACGCUGAGGCGCGAAAGCCAGGGGAGCAAACGGGAUUAGAUACCCCGGUAGUCCUGGCUGUAAACGAUGAACACUUGGUGUGGGGGGUGAUGAAAGUCCCUCUGUGCCGGAGAGAACUCAUUAAGUGUUCCGCCUGGGGAGUACGGCCGCAAGGCUGAAACUCAAAGGAAUUGACGGGGGCCCGCACAAGCGGUGGAGCAUGUGGUUUAAUUCGACGCAACGCGAAGAACCUUACCGGGGUUUGAACUGCACCUGAGCGAUCUAGAGAUGGAGAGGUUCCCUUCGGGGACAGGUGCAGAGGUGCUGCAUGGCUGUCGUCAGCUCGUGUCGUGAGAUGUUGGGUUAAGUCCCGCAACGAGCGCAACCCUUGUCUGUAGUUGCCAUCAGGUAAAGCUGGGCACUCUACGGAGACUGUCGGCGAGAAGCCGGAGGAAGGUGGGGAUGACGUCAAGUCCUCAUGGCCUUUAUGUCCCGGGCUACACACGUGCUACAAUGGGCGGUACAGAGGGCAGCGACCCUGUGAAGGCAAGCGAAUCCCAGAAAACCGCUCUCAGUUCGGAUUGCAGUCUGCAACUCGACUGCAUGAAGUUGGAAUCGCUAGUAAUCGCGGAUCAGAACGCCGCGGUGAAUACGCUCCCGGGCCUUGUACACACCGCCCGUCACAUCACGAAAGUGGGCUGUACUAGAAGCCGCCGGCCUAACCUUAGGGAAGGAGGCGUCGACGGUAUGGCUCAUGAUUGGGGUGAAGUCGGAACAAGGUA
This 1346-nucleotide ribosomal RNA is filed under the name metagenome. RNAcentral describes it as "bacterial SSU rRNA". It matches the Rfam family "Bacterial small subunit ribosomal RNA", at positions 142 to 1498 of the family's 1533-position model. The record is from RNAcentral.